Molecule: long non-coding RNA, 206 nt
Filed under: Elaeis guineensis (African oil palm)
Lineage: Eukaryota; Viridiplantae; Streptophyta; Magnoliopsida; Arecales; Arecaceae
Description: long non-coding RNA (EGUI_LNC059304)
Source: RNAcentral
CUUCACCAUAAUAGUUAUCAAGCUUCCAUAAAGCUCCCAUGCAAGUCAAUUUCUUUCUCAACAACUCACAAUAUGAAAAAUAAAUAAACCCAAAAAAUUAGAAUAAUAUAAGCAUGCAUGCAAAAUUAGAAAAUCUUCAAGUAUGCAUAUAAGAUAUUUUGUAUUAAUUUAUAUGAAAUUAUUGCAAACAUUAAAUAACCAUAACU